RNAcentral lists this ribosomal RNA (252 nucleotides) under uncultured bacterium. Its description in RNAcentral is "partial 16S ribosomal RNA". It matches the Rfam family "Bacterial small subunit ribosomal RNA", at positions 524 to 776 of the family's 1533-position model. The record is from RNAcentral.
UACAGAGGGUGCAAGCGUUGUUCGGAAUUAUUGGGCGUAAAGAGCUCGUAGGCGGUUUGUCGCGUCGACUGUGAAAACUGGGGGCUUAACUCUCAGCUUGCAGUUGAUACGGGCAGACUUGAGUUCGGUAGGGGAGACUGGAAUUCCUGGUGUAGCGGUGAAAUGCGCAGAUAUCAGGAGGAACACCGGUGGCGAAGGCGGGUCUCUGGGCCGAUACUGACGUGAGGAGCGAAAGCGUGGGGAGCGAACAGG